GACGAACGCUGGCGGCGUGCUUAACACAUGCAAGUCGAACGGUAAGGCCCUUCGGGGUACACGAGUGGCGAACGGGUGAGUAACACGUGGGUGAUCUGCCCUGCACUUCGGGAUAAGCCUGGGAAACUGGGUCUAAUACCGGAUAGGACCAUGGACUUCACGGUUUGUGGUGGAAAGCUUUUGCGGUGUGGGAUGGGCCCGCGGCCUAUCAGCUUGUUGGUGGGGUAAUGGCCUACCAAGGCGACGACGGGUAGCCGGCCUGAGAGGGUGUCCGGCCACACUGGGACUGAGAUACGGCCCAGACUCCUACGGGAGGCAGCAGUGGGAAUAUUGCACAAUGGGCGCAAGCCUGAUGCAGCGACGCCGCGUGA
This 371-nucleotide ribosomal RNA is filed under the name uncultured bacterium. RNAcentral describes it as "bacterial SSU rRNA". It matches the Rfam family "Bacterial small subunit ribosomal RNA", at positions 28 to 404 of the family's 1533-position model. The record is from RNAcentral.